Non-coding RNA from Podarcis lilfordi (Lilford's wall lizard), 83 nucleotides. The record is from the annotation of a GenBank genome assembly. NCBI's taxonomy places the organism in Eukaryota, Metazoa, Chordata, Lepidosauria, Squamata, Lacertidae.
GCUGGGCUGGCUCAGUCGGGAGAGCAUGAGACUCUUAAUUUCAGGGCCAUGAGUUUGAGCCUCGGAACUUGCCCUUUAAAGCA